CGCGAAUAGCUCAUUACAACAGCUAACAAAUCUACUUGAUCUUGACACAAUCCUACUUGGAUAACUGUGGUAAUUCUAGAGCUAAUACAUGCAUUAAAGCUCUGACCUUCGGGGAAGAGUGCAUUUAUUAGAACAAAACCAAGCGGCUUCGGCUGUUUUCGGUUGACUCAUAGUAACUGAGCUGAUCGCAUGGUCUUGCACCGGCGACGUGUCUUUCGAGUAUCUGCCGUAUCAACUUUCGAUGGUAGUGUAUCUGACUACCAUGGUGAUCACGCGUAACGGAGAAUAAGGGUUCGACUCCGGAGAGUUCGCCUGAGAAAUCGCGAACACAUCUAAGGAAGGCAGCAGGCGCGAAAAUUACCCACUCUCAGCACGAGGAGGUAGUGACGAAAAAUAACGAGACCGUUCUCUUAUGAGGCCGGUCAUCGGAAUGGGUACAAUUUAAACCCUUUAACGAGUAUCUAUGAGAGGGCAAGUCUGGUGCCAGCAGCCGCGGUAAUUCCAGCU
This 507-nucleotide ribosomal RNA is filed under the name Eucephalobus striatus. Its description in RNAcentral is "SSU rRNA". It matches the Rfam family "Eukaryotic small subunit ribosomal RNA", at positions 88 to 590 of the family's 1831-position model. The record is from RNAcentral. Lineage: Eukaryota; Metazoa; Nematoda; Chromadorea; Rhabditida; Cephalobidae.